RNAcentral lists this ribosomal RNA (1324 nucleotides) under metagenome. RNAcentral's name for it is "bacterial LSU rRNA". It matches the Rfam family "Bacterial large subunit ribosomal RNA", at positions 1611 to 2925 of the family's 2925-position model. The record is from RNAcentral.
AAAAAAGCCACUAAGCUUCAGCUACACACGACCGUACCGCAAACCGACACUGGUGCGCGAGAUGAGUAUUCUAAGGCGCUUGAGAGAACUCUGGAGAAGGAACUCGGCAAAUUGACACCGUAACUUCGGAAGAAGGUGUGCCCCUAGUAGGUGAAGUCGUACAGACGGAGCCCAAUGGGGUCGCAGAUAAUAGGUGGCUGCGACUGUUUAUUAAAAACACAGCACUCUGCAAAGACGAAAGUCGACGUAUAGGGUGUGACGCCUGCCCGGUGCUGGAAGAUUAAAUGAUGGGGUGCAAGCUCUUGACUGAAGUCCCAGUAAACGGCGGCCGUAACUAUAACGGUCCUAAGGUAGCGAAAUUCCUUGUCGGGUAAGUUCCGACCUGCACGAAUGGCGUAACGAUGGCCACGCUGUCUCCUCCAGAGACUCAGCGAAGUUGAAAUGUUUGUGAUGAUGCAAUCUCCCCGCGGAAAGACGGAAAGACCCCAUGAACCUUUACUGUAGCUUUACAUUGGACUUUGAACAGAUCUGUGUAGGAUAGGUGGGAGGCUUUGAAACCUGGUCGCUAGAUCAGGUGGAGCCAACCUUGAAAUACCACCCUGGUGUGUUUGAGGUUCUAACCUUGGCCCGUUAUCCGGGUUGGGGACAGUGUAUGGUGGGCAGUUUGACUGGGGCGGUCUCCUCCCAAAGCGUAACGGAGGAGUUCGAAGGUACGCUAGGCACGGUCGGAAAUCGUGCUGAUAGUGCAUUGGCAUAAGCGUGCUUGACUGCGAGACUGACAAGUCGAGCAGGUACGAAAGUAGGACAAAGUGAUCCGGUGGUUCUGUAUGGAAGGGCCAUCGCUCAACGGAUAAAAGGUACUCUGGGGAUAACAGGCUGAUACCGCCCAAGAGUUCAUAUCGACGGCGGUGUUUGGCACCUCGAUGUCGGCUCAUCUCAUCCUGGGGCUGUAGCCGGUCCCAUGGGUAUGGCUGUUCGCCAUUUAAAGAGGUACGUGAGCUGGGUUUAAAACGUCGUGAGACAGUUUGGUCCCUAUCUUCCGUGGGCGCUGCAAGAUUGAGAGAGCCUGCUCCUAGUACGAGAGGACCGGAGUGGACGCACCUCUGGUGUAUCGGUUGUCACGCCAGUGGCAUCGCCGAGUAGCUAAGUGCGGAAGAGAUAACCGCUGAAAGCAUCUAAGCGGGAAACUCGUCUCAAGAUGAGUCUUGCCGGGGCCUAGAGCCCCCUGAAGAGUCGUUCGAGACCAGGACGUUGAUAGGUCGGGUGUGGAAGCGCAGUAAUGCGUUAAGCUAACCGAUACUAAUUGCUCGUGAGGCUUGACCCC